RNAcentral lists this transfer RNA (73 nucleotides) under Marmota monax (woodchuck). RNAcentral's name for it is "tRNA.Ala". Lineage: Eukaryota; Metazoa; Chordata; Mammalia; Rodentia; Sciuridae. The record is from RNAcentral.
UGAGGAUGUGGCUUAGUGGUAGAAUGCUUGCCUAGCAUGCAUGAAGCCCUGAGUUCAAUCUCCAGCACCACAA